Molecule: ribosomal RNA, 253 nt
Filed under: uncultured bacterium
Lineage: Bacteria
Description: partial 16S ribosomal RNA
Rfam family: Bacterial small subunit ribosomal RNA
Source: RNAcentral
UACGUAGGUGGCAAGCGUUGUCCGGAAUUAUUGGGCGUAAAGCGCGCGCAGGCGGUCCUUUAAGUCUGAUGUGAAAGCCCACGGCUCAACCGUGGAGGGUCAUUGGAAACUGGGGGACUUGAGUACAGAAGAGGAAAGCGGAAUUCCAAGUGUAGCGGUGAAAUGCGUAGAGAUUUGGAGGAACACCAGUGGCGAAGGCGGCGAUCUGGGUCGAUACUGACGCUGAGGUGCGAAAGCGUGGGGAGCAAACAGG